AACGCGAAGAACCUUACCUACUCUUGACAUACUUGGAAUCCUUUGGAGACAGAGGAGUGCCUUCGGGAGCCGAGAUACAGGUGCUGCAUGGCUGUCGUCAGCUCGUGUCGUGAGAUGUUGGGUUAAGUCCCGUAACGAGCGCAACCCUCGUCCUUAGUUGCCAGCACGUAAUGGUGGGAACUCUAAGGAGACCGCCGGUGAUAAACCGGAGGAAGGUGGGGAUGAUGUCAAGUCAUCAUGGCCCUUAUGAGUAGGGCUACACGCGUGCUACAAUGGGCAGUACAAAGGGUUGCAGAGCCGCGAGGUGAAGCUAAUCCCAAAAAGCUGUUCGUAGUCCGGAUUGGAGUCUGCAACUCGACUCCAUGAAGUUGGAAUCGCUAGUAAUCGCGAAUCAGAACGUCGCGGUGAAUACGUUCCCGGGCUUGUACACACCGGAGUGC
RNAcentral lists this ribosomal RNA (440 nucleotides) under uncultured bacterium. RNAcentral describes it as "bacterial SSU rRNA". It matches the Rfam family "Bacterial small subunit ribosomal RNA", at positions 958 to 1398 of the family's 1533-position model. The record is from RNAcentral.